This 187-nucleotide ribosomal RNA is filed under the name uncultured Latescibacterota bacterium. RNAcentral describes it as "uncultured Latescibacteria bacterium partial 16S ribosomal RNA". It matches the Rfam family "Bacterial small subunit ribosomal RNA", at positions 1197 to 1382 of the family's 1533-position model. Lineage: Bacteria; Pseudomonadati; Candidatus Latescibacterota. The record is from RNAcentral.
GGCCCUUACAUCCCGGGCUACACACGUGCUACAAUGGCAGGUACAGAGGGCUGGCGAAGCCGCGAGGUGGAGCGAAUCCCAGAAAACCUGUCUCAGUCCGGAUUGAAGUCUGCAACUCGACUUCAUGAAGGCGGAAUCGCUAGUAACCGCGAAUCAGCAGGUCGCGGUGAAUACGUUCCCGGGCCUU